RNAcentral lists this ribosomal RNA (487 nucleotides) under uncultured bacterium. Its description in RNAcentral is "bacterial SSU rRNA". It matches the Rfam family "Bacterial small subunit ribosomal RNA", at positions 39 to 518 of the family's 1533-position model. The record is from RNAcentral.
GCGGCAGGCUUAACACAUGCAAGUCGAGGGGCAGCGCGAGUAGCAAUACUUGGCGGCGACCGGCGCAAGGGUGCGUAACGCGUGAGCAACAUGCCCGUAUCAGGGGGAUAAUCCAGGGAAACUUGGUCUAAUACCCCAUAGUAAUUUUGUAAGGCAUCUUAUAAGAUUUAAAGCUUUGGUGGAUACGGAUUGGCUCGCGUGACAUUAGCUGGAUGGUAAGGUAACGGCUUACCAUGGCUAUGAUGUCUAGGGGUUCUGAGAGGAAGGUCCCCCCACACUGGAACUGAGACACGGUCCAGACUCCUACGGGAGGCAGCAGUGAGGAAUAUUGGACAAUGGAUGGAAAUCUGAUCCAGCCAUGCCGCGUGAAGGGAAAGAAGGUCCUAUGGAUUGUAAACUUCUUUUGUAUGGGAGCAAUAAGGCCUACGAGUAGGUUGAUGAGAGUACCAUACGAAUAAGCACCGGCUAACUCCGUGCCAGCAGCGGC